GGCAUGAGCUGUGGGUUCUAGGGUUUCAACUCUAGGUUUUGUGAAAAGAAAAUACAAGAGUGAGUCUUGUCCAAUCUUCCACACCACCACCUCCUUGUAAAGCUUUAUCUUCUGAUCUAGAAGAGUCUGAGAGAUCUGAAGAAAGAAGCUUGGAUCAGCCAUCCAGAGCCUUCGACGCGAGCUAGCACUCCCACGAAGGAAGAUCCGAUCAGGGCUUCGAGUGGAUGAUCUGUAGAUGUCGGAUGAUCUGUGCAACUACUUGACAUCAGUGAGAGCUUCAUACUAUGCCUACUGAUAGUGAAGAUCAUUAA
Molecule: long non-coding RNA, 311 nt
Filed under: Elaeis guineensis (African oil palm)
Lineage: Eukaryota; Viridiplantae; Streptophyta; Magnoliopsida; Arecales; Arecaceae
Description: long non-coding RNA (EGUI_LNC082834)
Source: RNAcentral